GGUGGCCCAGUGGAAGAGCACUUGCCUUGCAUGCAUGAGGCCCUGGGUUCGAUUCCUCAGCACCA
This 65-nucleotide transfer RNA is filed under the name Dipodomys ordii (Ord's kangaroo rat). It matches the Rfam family "tRNA". From Rfam's summary of the family: Transfer RNA (tRNA) molecules are approximately 80 nucleotides in length. Their secondary structure includes four short double-helical elements and three loops (D, anti-codon, and T loops). The record is from Rfam by way of RNAcentral. Lineage: Eukaryota; Metazoa; Chordata; Mammalia; Rodentia; Heteromyidae.